GACGAACGCUGGCGGCGUGCCUAACACAUGCAAGUCGAACGGAGAUACGAUUUCGGUUGUAUCUUAGUGGCGAACGGGUGAGUAACGCGUGAGCAACCUGACCUUCAGAGGGGGAUAACAUUUGGAAACAGAUGCUAAUACCGCAUAAGACCACGACCCGACAUCGGGAUGAGGUCAAAGGAGCAAUCCGCUGAAGGAGGGGCUCGCGUCCCAUUAGAUAGAUGGCGGGGUAACGGCCCACUAUGUCGACGAUGGGUAGCCGAGCUGAGAGGCUGAUCGGCCACACUGGAACUGAGACACGGUCCAGACUCCUACGGGAGGCAGCAGUGGGGAAUAUUGGGCAAUGGGCGCAAGCCUGACCCAGCAACGCCGCGUGAGGGAAGAAGGCUUUCGGGUUGUAAACCUCUGUCCUUGGUGACGAAACAAAUGACGGUAGCCAAGGAGGAAGCCCCGGCUAACUACGUGCCAGCCGCCGCCGUAA
Molecule: ribosomal RNA, 481 nt
Filed under: uncultured bacterium
Lineage: Bacteria
Description: partial 16S ribosomal RNA
Rfam family: Bacterial small subunit ribosomal RNA
Source: RNAcentral